GGGUGAUAGCUGAUAAAGUCCAAGGGAGUCACAGCCUGAGCUGUGGGACUGUCUGCCACCGGACCGGGGUGCAGCCUCUGGAACCCAAGGGAGUCUCCUGGGACUACGGCAUCGGGGGAGGAUGGGAACACAUCACCGUCCGAGGAAACUCGACCGAAAGGACCAAGGUGGCGGCUCAGGAUGGUCCCAGCAGCUCUCCUCACAACCUCACUAGCUUAGAGGUUCAUGGAAGCCACCAGCCCCAAACCACCAUUUUUGUCGACGGCGUCCAAGACUUGGACCUUAACGCUGUCCAGUGUUGACUUGUCUUCUGACGUUUCCACCUUCUGCUCAUGGCGGGUGUCCUGGAUCACGGAAGCUACCCGGAACACCAGGCUGGUUUUGGAACGCUCCCCCAUUGAGUGCCCAAGGAGACCAAGCCAACUCCAAGCAUGAAAUCCACACCGACCCUUCCAUCUUGUGUCCCUUUGGCGAGACCGCAGGCGUCGACCCCCAUCCUCGUCGAAGUGAUGCUCCAACCUGGGAGGGUGGUGGUGGUGGUGGUCUCCCAGUUGUGUGUGUUUGUGAUCUCCCAGAAUUCCCCACUUCUCCGUGAGCAUUCUUGGAGUUAAGAUUCAACCCCAUCCUUCCAGUGGAGA
Molecule: long non-coding RNA, 638 nt
Organism: Thamnophis elegans (Western terrestrial garter snake)
Lineage: Eukaryota; Metazoa; Chordata; Lepidosauria; Squamata; Natricidae
Exons: 2
Source: RefSeq, a predicted model, not a curated record